RNAcentral lists this ribosomal RNA (497 nucleotides) under uncultured bacterium. RNAcentral describes it as "partial 16S ribosomal RNA". It matches the Rfam family "Bacterial small subunit ribosomal RNA", at positions 28 to 507 of the family's 1533-position model. The record is from RNAcentral.
GAUGAACGCUGGCGGCGUGCCUAAUACAUGCAAGUCGAGCGAACAGAUAAGGAGCUUGCUCCUUUGACGUUAGCGGCGGACGGGUGAGUAACACGUGGGUAACCUACCUAUAAGACUGGAAUAACUCCGGGAAACCGGGGCUAAUGCAGGAUAACAUGUUGAACCGCAUGGUUCUACAGUGAAAGGCGGCUUUGCUGUCACUUAUAGAUGGACCCGCGCCGUAUUAGCUAGUUGGUGAGGUAACGGCUCACCAAGGCAACGAUACGUAGCCGACCUGAGAGGGUGAUCGGCCACACUGGAACUGAGACACGGCCCAGACUCCUACGGGAGGCAGCAGUAGGGAAUCUUCCGCAAUGGGCGAAAGCCUGACGGAGCAACGCCGCGUGAGUGAUGAAGGUCUUCGGAUCGUAAAACUCUGUUAUUAGGGAAGAACAAAUGCGUAAGUAACUGUGCGCGUCUUGACGGUACCUAAUCAGAAAGCCACGGCUAACUACGUG